CGCAGGCUAUCUCCUUCCUUCACGAACACGCAGGGGGCGUACCACCUCCCCACGACCAAACCGGCACCACCUGCGCCUGAUAUCGGCAACUCCAACGCGGGCGUGCGGGCACGAAGGGCUUUGUCGAGCCCCCAGGCGUCGGUCAAGUCGAAGUCCGUGGGCUUCGAAGCAUAAAGCCUCCAGUCCUUUCUCCUCAGGGGCCAUGGAGCGAACCCAUCCGGAGCUACGGACUGCGCGGUGAACCUGCCUCUCUUGCAGACGAUCUCCACCUGCUGGUAGAUGUCCCUGUGAUCGAACUCUCUCGGCUUGACAUCGUUGACGCACUGGCAGAAGCAGCAUGUGGUCAUGUCUUCCUCCAGGGAGCAUGUAUACGCUUUCCUGCACAUGCAAUCGAAAUCAACCCAACAUUGUUGUGAGAAAACUACGGGAGGUGGGGGAGGGAUGGAAGGAGAUCGAGAGAGGUGCGCCACCCUUUCUUUUUGCCCUUUGCGACGAUGACGUAGUAGUGAUUGGAGGAGAACGAUUUGUAGAGGACGGGGAUGAACAGGGCCGGGAACCGGUGGGUGGUAGAGCUCUGGCCAUUGUGCUCCGUGUAGGUGAUGGUGAGGAUCCUGUUCUGAGGGAAGGGGAGCUCUCGAACCCUCGUGUCUUCACAGAGCCCCCAGCAGCAUGAGGGGUUUGGUUCAGCUCCCUCGUCCUGGAGAAGCAGAUAGCCUGAGUUGGGCCCUGCCGGUGGUGGUGGUUGAAUGGCGGCAGCACCAGCAGAGUUCUUGAAGACGGAGAGCGGCCUCGUCGUGUACAUCUCCUCGGCCCUGGUUGUUCCCGGAGAUGAGGUUUGUGGAGGUGAAGAUGGCUCUGAUACUGCUAUUAGUACACCAAGAUCUCUCGCUCUUUCUCCGAUCUUUCACAGUAGACCUUUCAAAUCUUUUCUCUGUUAUGAUCCAUUGAUGACAUCUUCUAAGAAGCUAACCUUUGGUAGAUUAUGACAAUGCCGUGGAGCUGUGAAGAAUAUGUGAAUGAUCAACUCGAUCCAACAAAUCAAUGAGAGAAAGAGUCAGAGAUGCGUGGGCAUAAUAUUUAAUGCUUCUUUUUUGAAAAUAUUGACAAUCUAACCUUACAAUUUGAGUCAUCGUAGCAUAAGAUGAAGAAUGCUUCUCCUCUUCAUCUUCAUAUCAGAGAGGUUCCAUCUGCAUCUUCGUGGAGAUGGUACCCAAACAAUCAACCGUAAGACGCCUUCAAAGAAAGAAAUCGGUUCACCAAUCAUUAAAGCAACAUGGAGAGCUUCCUUACAACUGCUAAAAGAAGAAAUAGUAAAAGGUCAGCUUCUUUUGCUUGCGAGGUCAUCGUUAUACGGUCCGAGAGAGAGGGAGAGACAGAGAGAGAGAAGCCUAGACAAAACCAAAGAGAUGAUGAUAAGGUUCGAAAAGUCCGCGUACUUGAUAUGAGGUGAUGGCAGUCACUGGCAGCGCCAUGCAUUCAACAACAUACCGGAGGAUGCGCUCAUCUCUCUCCGUGUGAUCGGAGCGUUGACCAGCUUCCCUCCGAGUUGCGUCUGAGAAGCUGCGGAGAUCACAGAACCUGCACCAAACUAAUGGUAGAAGAUAAGCCACCACAUUAAAGACCUGCUUGUUUGCAGUUCCAGCAGUCUCUCAUCUUCACAUGGAGCUCAUAGUGCCGGAGUCACGAUCGACAAGUCUUAGCAUCCUAAAAUCCGAAACAUGACAGAUGAAAUAAUAUUCAACAAUGUUCAAUGUAAAGCAGUAUCGAACCUCGCUUGGAUAUACCGUAAAAUGAUGAAAUAAUAUUCAACAAUGUUCAAUGUAAAGAAUUGUUGCUGCAACGAAAAAUCCAACAACUAAUUUGUCAAAGAGGUUACCACAAGAAAGUAAAGAAAGCUCAUGAAAUUGAUGAGGCAGAUAAUAGAGAACUCUAUUUCCUCAUAUUUCUUGAGGAUGCCAGCUAUAUAUUUUGAGCAACUAAAAUCCUCAUCUAAAAGAAUUAUUUUUGAAGUAAUAAGAACUAAUUUAUUGACAUACUUUUCUAUUUUGGAAGAGAAAUACAAACCCUUCCUGCAUCAUUGGUCCAGCCACACAGGAAAAACAUCAAAAACACACAACACCUCUGCUAGCAUAACCUUACUGUAAUCUCCAAAAGAACACUCAUCCAUUUGUUAAUAAACUAAAGGAAUCCUCAUACUUUCAAUCAAAUGUCCCAAAUAACAAUGAACAAAUAAUAGAUUUCACAGAUAUAACAACAUGAAAACAAAUAAAGAGAAGUUGAAAUUGUUUGUAUGUAGGGAUUACUCUUUCUUUUUUUAUUCUUUAUUUGAUUAUAAAAUCUAAAACAAUGAUUGAUGCCUUUUUUUUUUUCUUUCCACAAGUUACUGCUCUAAAGUUCUGAAGCUAGACUUUUUUUUUUUUGUAAGAAUACAACCUUUUGAUAUUUAGAAACUUAAAGAUGCAAUAAUAAGGAAUCCUAGACACUGGAUCACCUCUCUGAAGUUGUUAAGCUAAAUCUUUUCUAUAAAAAAGCAACCUUUUGAGAUUUAACUGAAAGAUACAAUAAUGAGGAUUCCUACAAUGAAGACAUUGCAUCACCUACAAAUUAUUAUUAUUAUUAUUAUUAUUAUUAUUAUUAUUAUUAUUGUGAUAAAUUAUCAAGAUCUUUAUUGAAAAAAAAGGAGAUAAUCUUAUAAAAUUAACACUAUGACCCAUUAUAUAGAUUAAAUAAAUAAAAAAGAUUAACACAAUUGUAUGAGCAACUCAAAAUUCGACAUGAUUUACAUGUAAAAAAGUAACCUUCUAAGAAAUUGUGAUGUGGUGUACUGUACAGUCUUUACAUGUAUUAGCAGAACAAGCAUAGGAAGUCUUUAUCUUAAAAAAUAGAAAAGUAGUUAGAUAUGUUCUCUUUUGUUCCCCCGUGCGAAAACAAGUUCAGUCAUUCUCAAGAAGCCAAAAUGUUUUUUUGUCUCUCAUAGAUUAUAUUAUCCAUCACACUCUCAUUUAAAGUGGUUCAGGGACAGUAGUUCAGAAACACAUCCACAACACAACCUAUUAAUUCUCUUACUUGAGAGGUAUAUUGACUAAUCAUUUAUCUCGAAAUUGAAGAUUAUUUUGUGUGUAAAAAGUCAUUAAUUCACGAAGCAUUCAGUCGAACACUUUGAGCUCAUAUCGGGAGACAUGUACUUUCUGCUGAUCCGAAAGUCACCUGUCACAUAUUAGAACCCUACAGUUCCAGUAAUGCUACAACAUAAGUGUUGAUUUCACAUGGAUUUGAUCGCGGGAAAGAACAAGAACGCACCACCAAGAUUCAAGCCAUUCGAAAUCAAGAAAGCUAAAAAGGCAAGAACACCACACCACCACCUCUUCUCUGCGAUAUAAGAUGCACGAACACAUAAUCUUGAGAAAGGCAAGGAACAUAGGGAGGCAAAGAAAGGGACGGACCUGCCUAGUUCUUCUCGGUGAGACCGGACACGAUCCACCGCCGUCGUGUUCGCAUUGGCCCCUCCCUGGUGACCGAUCUGACCGCGAUCGCGGAUAAGCCGCACGUCACUUCAGUUUGGGGCACCCUAAUCCCCGGAGAGUACCCACGCCUCGGAGCCCACAAAGCCCUCCCAUUCUCCCACAUCCAAAUGUGGCUUGGAGCCAACGUCACCCUCCCUCAUCGACGCUCCAUCGCCCCAAAUCACUUUGGUCAUUCUCCUCGAUGUAAACGCAUUCUUGGAAGACGAUAGCUUUAAGCAUUGAGCUGCUCUGCACAUGGAUCUCACGUGAUACCUUUUAUUCUAUUUGAAUCAGAUGCUAAUAGACUCAUGUUCACGAUUUGAAUUGGUUCAUUUCGAUUGGACCCGGUUCAGAUCGACCGGUUGGAUCCAAUCUGAUGGCUAUGAUUCUAUCAGAUUCUACUGAUGUAGUGAUGAGAAAUCUUUCUUUAUCCAUUAUUUUCAUUGUAUUACUCCGCCAAAUACAACUCAAUUUCAUGGGUGAACUUAUGAGCUCGGCCAUGGAGUCAAUUUUGACCAGUCAAUGCUUAAACAUACCAAUCAUCUCCAUCGAUAUAUGCAUUGCUUUAACAAAUCAGGAUUAGAAAAAGAACAUUAUUAUAUGAUGUAAGCACAUUGACUCGCCCGUAAAGGUUUCAUCGAGAAGUACUCGGCCAUUCAUAUUGCCCGAGAGAAGAAGCAGCAGCCACCAUUUUCGUGUGAUCAUCACACUAUAAGAGGUCUAGUGUCUCUACAUCAGGUUCAAGCAGCCCUGUGAUACCAAACACACUGCAAGUCCAAGCAGACCUGGAAGCGAUCAAAUCUUCAUUGCUCAAAGAAAGUGCUACUGCUUCUGCACAACCAUAUGAUCUUUCAGUGUUAGCUGAUACCGAUUUGUCAAACUACCCUGCGGAGGUUCCUGCAGUUGAUGACUCCGACAAACCAUAAUGUUAAUUGAUUUUAGUAGGUAGCGGAAGCGAAGCUACGAGGUCUUGAACUGCACUCCACCGGCUGUUCUUUGCUGCUGUGUUUGCAAAACUGGGAAGCCUACAGUUUCCCGUUGCUUCAGUGAAAGGUAAAUACUACUAUACCUUCAAUGAUUUUGCUUCUCGCUUGAAUGCUAGUCAGGAUUGUGAGCAUGUUUGUACAUUUUCUUUUAGUGUCAUUUAAUGGAAUACCUGCAAUGAUUUAUUUGUUGGUUGAAUGCUGGUGAGGAUUGUGAAUGCUGACAUGUGUGAUCGUUUUCUACCAUUGUCACUUGUUGUCAAGACUAAAUGAUGGUGCCUGUCGAUCGAGUUACCCCAUUCUUGCUGCUUCAUGUGACUGUUUUCCUAGCAUUACUAAUAGCCAGGAUCGAAAUAGCGUGUAUAUUUCUUGCCAAGAGAGCAUUUACUCGAACAUACAUGUGAUCUAACACCUCGAGUUGUAACACCUAAUGUCCGGUGUGGAGCAGUAAUAAACAUUUUUGUCUGUAUGUAUAUGUUCAUGUCUUUUAUUUUUAAUAUAAUACUUGUAUAUGUCCGUAUGUUUUAUUUUUAUUCAUAUUUUGGGCUACAUUAGGCUUAAUAGUCUCCAUUUAGUUGACUUUUGUGGUCAUUUCAGGUUUGUAAACAUAAGUUAUGUAUAGUCAUUACGUAGAGGCAAAAUUGUCCAGAAAUAAGUCAUCCAAAUAAUUAUUUUAAGGGUUUUCUAGCUCUACAGAGUGGUACGGAAUGUCAGCUAGUAUAACACCUAGGAGCUACCCAGGUGGCACAUGGCUAGAUGGGUAUUUGGAGUGGUGUCUAGGGCUGGAUUACCACAUUAUUCUAUGGUAGUGUCAUGUAGUCAUUUGCAGGGACUUUCGACUAUAGUGAACCACCUCAGACUAUUUCUCAUGUAAUCAUUCAGACCCUUCAAAGUCUAUGUUUAUAAUUUGCAUUACCUAUCAAGUAUUUGUUGAAAUUGCUACUUAUGGAUUCUAAGUUAAACGCUUUUUCUAACCCGUCUUUUUUGCAUAUCACAAGAGGUUUCGGGAAGGUUGACCCUUUAGGGAUGGAUACGCAAAAGUGCCGCACAACUUAGGGAUAGCUACCUAAGUCCAUGACAAAUUAUAUUAUAGUGGAAUAGGCACACUUAAAAAUACUUGGUAUAAAAAUGUGAGAGACCUAGCUAGGUGGCGUUGAGGGCAGCCAACACACAUAACCAUUUGCGAGAAACGGGUGUUGAGAUGUAGGGAAAGGAGUUGCUUAGAAGAGCAAGUAUCUGAAAUUGACAUUCAAAGGAAUAGCUAACCCUUUGCCCGAGAGGCUUCACGAGGACAAUCGAGCUGGAAAGAACAUAACAUACAAAAGUUGGGAUGGUUGAAUUCGAGCUACGACUCGACAUGGUAACCAAACUUAAUGGUACUUAAGGUAAGUGAGGUGUUUAGCAAAGGAUGAGAUCGUGAAAGGUGAGGUGAGUUGCUCAACGAUCGAAAGAGUUAUGCAAAACUCACAGAGGUGAGGGGAAUUGUUAAUUCAAAAAAUUCGGUAUCCAUGCAAAGGCUUGUAUGUACACAAUGGGCUGUCUAUAACCAUCCCAAGGCAAUUAAAACUUUGACGCUACGGAACAUUAAAACUUUUCCUUCAACAUGGGGAGGAUACAUCUAGAGAAAGCUAAAAUGUGUAGCAAGUUCAAUAUAUUACUAGGCCUUGAGGAGAAUAACAGGGGUUGCAUUGACGAAGAGUCAUAAUCUAGUAAGUUUGUUUAUAGGGAUAGAAUAGUGCAUAGUUUGUUUAGCAUGGCUGAGUAGUUUAAGAGGAUAGUGGUCUCCAAAACUUUUGGAGGGAAAGAUGCGAAAAAUUACUCCAAUAAGAGAGAUAUCCAAGAGGGAUAAGUCUCGAUUUGUCAGAUGGAGAAUCAUAUAUAACAAACUAUACAGAGGAGGGGUACCUCAAGACAAUAACUCUACAAAGCUCAACAAACUGAGUGAACGACGAGGAGUCAUCACAUGAUCUCACACGUAAUGUGUUAAGGAACGCAUUGCACGAUCAAGUGGGGGAGUGAUCCAAGAUAACAACAAACGAAGACACUUAGAAUCGAUAUGAAAAUCAGACUCAACAGUGUGUUGACCCGUGGAAUAAUGGGUGUGAAGGUCAUACUCAACUCAAUAUAAAAUGAGGAGUAGAGAUGAAGGGCAUAAAGUUUAUCCAAGAAAGAUUCAAAAUGCAAUAGGGAUUCACGGGAAAGAGACAUAGUGCAAUGGACCAUGAUAGAAUAAUUUGAGACAAUGCAACAUAUGAAAAUUUUUUUUACCUUCUUAACUCAUAAAGAGAAUGAACAAAAUAGAAUAUCCCGUAUCUCUUAAUUAUCUAACAAAAAGUUCAAAAAUAAUAUGAAAAAGGUACAAAUGGCAAGCCUGAAGUAAGAGUUCGGCGACCAUCAGAACGCCGGCAACGCCGUCAUUCCCACUUGGUUUGAAUCGUACCCGUGUGCUUGAAGUCAACUAUCAAGGCCGAGCUUCCAUCCAUCCUCCUCACCACAAACCUCUCCACCAACACGUAGCACCCAAAUUUCUUCCACGGGCUCACCCCUCCGUACUCCUCCGACCUCUCCACCUUCACUUCACCGCCGACCCACCCUCCCCUCCCCUGCUCCCACCUCAUUCUCUCCCAUACCGGGGAGCUCAGCCCCACCCUCUCUCCCUCCAAAUCAAGCGGCUUGUACCACACCACGCCGUCCUGUCCACCUGCGCCGUCUCGCGUCGCCUCCACGCCACCCAACACCGCGCCCUCCGCCCCAACAGUAGCCUUCACUUCCACGGUCCUCCGAUCGCCAUACAAGUUCUCGCACGCGAACACCUGUUCCCAGCGCUGCUCGAGGGUGAUAUCGUAGAAAGCCGAGCGCUCCAUUUGACGCCGCAGGCUAUCUCCUUCCUUCACGAACACGCAGGGGGCGUACCACCUCCCCACGACCAAACCGGCACCACCUGCGCCAGAUAUCGGCAACUCCAACGCGGGCGUGCGGGCACGAAGGGCUUUGUCAAGCCCCCAGGCGUCGGUCAAGUCGAAGUCCGUGGGCUUCGAAGCAUAAAGCUCCCAGUACUUACUCCUCAGUGGCCAUGGAGCGAACCCAUCCGGAGCUACGGACUGCGCGGUGAACCUGCCUCUCUUGCAGACGAUCUCCACCUGCUGGUAGAUGU
Molecule: long non-coding RNA, 7640 nt
Filed under: Musa acuminata (dwarf banana)
Lineage: Eukaryota; Viridiplantae; Streptophyta; Magnoliopsida; Zingiberales; Musaceae
Description: long non-coding RNA (MACU_LNC002940)
Source: RNAcentral